Ornithorhynchus anatinus (platypus) is the source of this 138-nucleotide non-coding RNA. Lineage: Eukaryota; Metazoa; Chordata; Mammalia; Monotremata; Ornithorhynchidae. The record is from Rfam.
CCCCUCUCAGGAUUGCACCAGGAGAGUUUCCAGUACUCUACCGGUCUCCGCUAAGGGAGGGAGAGUCAAGCAGAGGCGUUCCCAUUCCAUUCCUAGCUUGGGCAGUGGCUAGUGAGAGGAAGGCAAUCUGCUACAAGU